This 685-nucleotide ribosomal RNA is filed under the name uncultured Vibrionaceae bacterium. RNAcentral describes it as "bacterial SSU rRNA". It matches the Rfam family "Bacterial small subunit ribosomal RNA", at positions 1 to 671 of the family's 1533-position model. Lineage: Bacteria; Pseudomonadati; Pseudomonadota; Gammaproteobacteria; Vibrionales; Vibrionaceae. The record is from RNAcentral.
UAGAGUUUGAUCAUGGCUCAGAUUGAACGCUGGCGGCAGGCCUAACACAUGCAAGUCGAGCGGAAACGAGUUGUUUGAACCUUCGGGGGACGACAACGGCGUCGAGCGGCGGACGGGUGAGUAAUGCCUGGGAAAUUGCCCUGAUGUGGGGGAUAACCAUUGGAAACGAUGGCUAAUACCGCAUGAUAGCUUCGGCUCAAAGAGGGGGACCUUCGGGCCUCUCGCGUCAGGAUAUGCCCAGGUGGGAUUAGCUAGUUGGUGAGGUAAGGGCUCACCAAGGCGACGAUCCCUAGCUGGUCUGAGAGGAUGAUCAGCCACACUGGAACUGAGACACGGUCCAGACUCCUACGGGAGGCAGCAGUGGGGAAUAUUGCACAAUGGGCGCAAGCCUGAUGCAGCCAUGCCGCGUGUAUGAAGAAGGCCUUCGGGUUGUAAAGUACUUUCAGCAGUGAGGAAGAUGGUGUGUUUAAUACGCGCAUCAUUUGACGUUAGCUGCAGAAGAAGCACCGGCUAACUCCGUGCCAGCAGCCGCGGUAAUACGGAGGGUGCGAGCGUUAAUCGGAAUUACUGGGCGUAAAGCGCAUGCAGGUGGUUUGUUAAGUCAGAUGUGAAAGCCCGGGGCUCAACCUCGGAAUAGCAUUUGAAACUGGCAGACUAGAGUACUGUAGAGGGGGGUAGAAUUUCA